This 1248-nucleotide ribosomal RNA is filed under the name Coniochaeta sp. DSM 101981. RNAcentral describes it as "eukaryotic LSU rRNA". The stretch from base 523 to 1248 matches the Rfam family "Eukaryotic large subunit ribosomal RNA", at positions 1 to 609 of the family's 3401-position model. Lineage: Eukaryota; Fungi; Ascomycota; Sordariomycetes; Coniochaetales; Coniochaetaceae. The record is from RNAcentral.
GAUACGUCUCGUUGGUGACAGCGGAGGGAUCAUUACAGAAGCCGAAAGGCUACUUCAAACCAUCGCGAACUCGUCCAAGUUGCUUCGGCGGCGCGGCUCCCCCAACGGGGCGCCGCAGCCCCGCCUCCCCGGAGGUGAGGGGCGCCCGCCGGAGGUAUCAAACCCUUCUGUAUUAUAGUGGCAUCUCUGAGUAAAACAAACAAGUUAAAACUUUCAACAACGGAUCUCUUGGCUCUGGCAUCGAUGAAGAACGCAGCGAAAUGCGAUAAGUAAUGUGAAUUGCAGAAUUCAGUGAAUCAUCGAAUCUUUGAACGCACAUUGCGCCCGCUAGUACUCUAGCGGGCAUGCCUGUUCGAGCGUCAUUUCAACCCUCAAGCCCUGCUUGGUGUUGGGGCCCUACGGCUGCCGUAGGCCCUGAAAGGAAGUGGCGGGCUCGCUGCAACUCCGAGCGUAGUAAUUCAUUAUCUCGCUAGGGAGGCGCGGCGCGCUCCUGCCGUUAAAGACCCCAUCUUUAACCAAGGUUGACCUCGGAUCAGGUAGGAAUACCCGCUGAACUUAAGCAUAUCAAUAAGCGGAGGAAAAGAAACCAACAGGGAUUGCCCCAGUAACGGCGAGUGAAGCGGCAACAGCUCAAAUUUGAAAUCUGGCCUCGGCCCGAGUUGUAAUUUGUAGAGGAUGCUUUUGGUGAGGUGCCUUCUGAGUUCCCUGGAACGGGACGCCAGAGAGGGUGAGAGCCCCGUAUAGUCGGCCACCGAUCCUCUGUAAAGCUCCUUCGACGAGUCGAGUAGUUUGGGAAUGCUGCUCAAAAUGGGAGGUAUAUCUCUUCUAAAGCUAAAUAUAGGCCAGAGACCGAUAGCGCACAAGUAGAGUGAUCGAAAGAUGAAAAGCACUUUGAAAAGAGGGUUAAAUAGCACGUGAAAUUGUUGAAAGGGAAGCGCUUGUGACCAGACUUGCGCCGGGCUGAUCAUCCAGUGUUCUCACUGGUGCACUCAACCCGGCUCAGGGCCAGCGUCGGUUCUCGUAAGGGGGAUAAAAGCUUCCGGGAACGUGGCACCCUUCCGGGUGUGUUAUAGCCCGCUUGCUAAAUACCCCUUGUGGGGGACCGAAGGUUCCCGCCUCUGCCAGGGACGCUUGGCAUAAAUGGUUCAUCCACCCACCCCUCCAAAAAAAAAAACCACCAAAACAAAAAGAGUUAUUACAAAGGUCUGAAUGACGUGGGGGCUUUUAAUUAACACGUGCCACCCUAUC